CACUUCAUUGGUCCCAUUUUUCCACUUCAAUAUCAGCCAUUUCGCUGCUUUCCUCCUCCUCCGAAAAUGCUCUCUUUUUCUUCUGACUUUUCCCUCUUUCUUCAUUUUGCUGUUUGAUUCUUGGUAAACUCUGAGCUAUGUUUCACUAUUCUUUUCUAAAUGUAUUCUUGGUUCGUCUGAUAUCACAUAUUUUUGAAGUGUUGCAUGUGAGUAAUUUCUUUUACUUUAAUGAAAUUUUAACAUAAGAUUUGAAAUUGGGGAUGUAAAAAAUUUCAAUGUGACCAAGCAACUGAAACGCACAUAGGGAUUGCAAAGAAGCUGCUUUUAAGUAAUCUCUGGGCGGCUCAUAUUGAGAGAUUUUCAUGUGGACUGUAUCUUAAGUUCACUAUGGGUGAUUGGAACGUGUAUUUACUUGAACAUGGUAUUUCUAUAUUCGAAUCUAUGGCGUUUUACAUCAAUAUCUAAAAGCCAUCACCAAGAGCUCUCUCAGUAACUUUUAUCCGUGCAAGGCGAUUGGACUUCAUCCCAACUGAUUGGUAAAAGCAUGGUAGGUAAGUCACCGACUUUCAAAAGCUGAAGGUUAAUAAUUCAGAGAUAAGUGCAUUUCAUGGUGCAGUUUUUGAGUUUCAAAAUCAUCCAUAUCAUUAGAUAAGUCCAUUUCUUAUUGAAGAUUUAUUAGUCUAUCAUACAAUUUAUUGAUAGUCUCAUAAUAAAAGGACAAGUAAAAGUUACUAGACGAUCUUUUUCUCCGUUAUAUUUAUUUUUAAUAUUUUUCUCUAGCGUCCUUUAUUAAGACAAAAAUGUGCCCUUUAAUGAACCUUACACCUAUAAUAUUAGAAUAACAGUUCAACUAGAAGAUAAAUUUUGGUAUUCAUUCAUAGUAGUUAUGGGUCUUUUUGUGUGUUUCAUAUGCAGACUUUAGAAUCUUAUCCCCUUAAAAUGAUUUUUUUCUCCAAGUAUACUUCUUGAAGUAAUUACAUGCGCUCUGCAAUUUGUGGCUUCAUUUCAGUGAUCUUUCAGAAUAGAACAAAGAACUUAUGGAAGAGUAAUUCUUUUGUAGCUUAUGAUGAUUCUAUUUUCUUUCUGUAGCAGGUUUUGGCAUUGCCCCUAUGCAUAUACCCUUUUCUUGAGGGUCUUGCAUAUUGCAGCUUUACGAUUGCUUUGUUGGUCCUUCAAUGAAUAGAGUAUAAAUCUUUCUAAUGUUUGAUACUGAGACAUUUAUGCAUAUUUACUUUAUAUACUCAUCUCACUGGUUUAUAUCUAUAUAUGGAUAGAUCAGUGCGCUUGCAUUAAGUUUCAUGCCUUCUCUUUGCAUGACUUAGCAAAUGUAUCCCAACUUCAUGAUUCGGCAAAUUGUUGACUACUUUUGCAUAUUUGGAGCUGGUAAGUGAAGAAGUAUGGUGUCGAAAGUUUUAGAUUACUUUAAACAUCCACACUUAUAUGAUAAUUGUUUAUAUGUUAGGGUCGACAUCAAGAAUGUGUACUGAACAAUAUAAUACUAACUUGCACAUCGUUGCGGAGAGAAAUUUAUUUUAUCUAAGCUUAGAGUGAUUUUAGUCACUUAUUUUCAUUAACCUUUUUACAUUCUGCAAAAUCUUAAAUACUCAGAUCGCAAUGCUACAACAUUGAGUUAUCAGAACAAUACUGAGCUGCUGAACAAUUAUUCUACACACAAAAAUAUGUAUACUUUGUGGAGCACAAGAUUGGAACAUGAAUAAUCAGAACUGGAAGCUGUUUGUUCGUGAUCAUUUCAGUCAUUUAAUUUAAGGACUUGAGUCUUGUACCUUUGCAUUUUAUAAUAGUAGCUAGGACUAAAAUUAUGCCUUCUUUCUGGUUUUGAACUUAUGGAGCUUAGAAAGAGGUUUGGAUGUUCACUAUUCUAGGAAAGUUCUACUAUUGUGAGACAUGCCGUUACCAAAUUAACUUCAAAAACUGGUCAAAAUGUGUAAAUGGGAAUGGGUAAGUUAAGUUGCUAGGUCGUAAAGCAAAGACCUCAACAAUUUACGACUUGCACAUACUGCUUAUCGCUUUUCAUUCUUUACACUAAAUUAUCAAUUACAACUAUGAGAGUAUGAUUGACAAACUGCCAAUUAGUUGAAACAGCUCUGCUUCAGAAAGUUUAUUAGAUGGAUUUUAACUUCAUUGCUUUUCCAUCAUCUACCAGAAUAGUUUUUUUCCCCUUCUUGCUCAUGUUGGGCACUUGGGUCCGUGCACAGCACGGGCAACACCCUACUAGUAUUCUAUAUAGAUGUUGAGUAUUUGGGAGUUUAAUUGCUAUUUCUUAUAUUUCGCAUAUUGUCAGGCUUACCUAGUCUUAGAGAUUAGGUGCCAACACGACAUCCUACGGAGAGAAAUUAGGGCCGUGACAAGUUGGUAUUAGAGCUCUAGGUUCAUAGGUGUUAUGAGUCACAAGCAAGUUUAGUAGAGUCUCGCGGAUCGGUACAGAGACUUCUGUACUUAUCUUCGGGAGGCUAUGGAACAGUUAGGAGAAGUUUCACUUCUUUGAAUCCCUAUCGUGCGAAUUUGUUUACUUCAGAAUUCUAAAUUGUCUUUUUAUUCUCUCACAGAUGGUGAAGACACGCAUAGCUGGAUCUGAUGAUCUGACACUCACGCCCCUGCCAGAGCAGCGAGAGGUCAGGGCUGGGGCAGAGGCCGAGGAAGGUCACGUAGUGCAGCUAGAGCACCUGCACGAGAUGCUACAGAGGAGCCACCAGUAGAUCUAGUUGGAGAGUAUGCACCUGGGACGCCUGUUCCUACCCCUGCACUUCAAGAGACUCUCGCCCAGUUUUUGAGUAUGUUUGGCACUUUAGCUCAAGCAUGGUUGAUUUCACUUGCUCCUUCCACAUCUCAGGCUGGGGAGGAGCACAGACUCCCGCCGCCCGUACCCCAGAGCAAUAGGUCCAGGUUGACCAGGUCCCGGAGGUCAUACCAAUGCAGCCGGUUGUCCCAGUUCAGCCGAGGUUAGGGCAGCAACUUCUGAGGGGGAGUGACUCAGGUUCUAGAGGUACAAGAAGUACCAUCCUCCUACUUUCAGCAGUUUGUAGAGCUUGUGACUCGAUAUCACCAGGUUUUGGGGGAAAAUUGUAGAUGUUGAGCAGCAAAGUUUAUUCUAUAGAGAUGUUGAAUAUUUGAGAGUUUAACUGUUAUUUCAGUUAUAUUCCGCAUGUUGUUAGGCUUA
This is a long non-coding RNA of Nicotiana tabacum (common tobacco), 3178 nucleotides long. RefSeq lists it as uncharacterized. NCBI's taxonomy places the organism in Eukaryota, Viridiplantae, Streptophyta, Magnoliopsida, Solanales, Solanaceae. The record is from RefSeq and is a predicted model, not a curated record.